Molecule: transfer-messenger RNA, 381 nt
Filed under: Puniceicoccales bacterium
Lineage: Bacteria; Pseudomonadati; Verrucomicrobiota; Opitutia; Puniceicoccales
Rfam family: transfer-messenger RNA
About the family: Bacterial tmRNA, also known as 10Sa RNA or SsrA, is named for its dual tRNA and mRNA-like properties. Its role is to liberate the mRNA from a stalled ribosome.
Source: RNAcentral
GGGGGUGCCAUGGAUUCGACUGAGUGUCGUAGGAUAGCAUUGCACGUCGGAGUUGACGGUCGGCUCCGUUAUCAAACCGUUAAAACAAUAAAUGACAAAAACGUCAUCAGGCUUGACUUCAGUAAUGCGGUCAGUGCCGCUGCCUAGUUUAAUGGCAGCACAUCGCCUUGCUUGAUGCUCGAUGGAGCAAACGCGGUGUAAAUUAUCGAGCGUCCGCGUGGCCUUUUGCGGUGUGCCACGUGGAUUAUUUCAGUACCGCGAUAGUCGCUGCGCAAUGUGUCGACGCAUGGCGCAGUGGUGAAACCAAAGCAUCGAACAAACGUGUAGGCGUGCCUUUUGAAAACACGCAGGACGCGGGUUCAAUUCCCGCCACCUCCACCA